UUUUUUCAAUAAAUGAAAGGUAGUUAUUUUAUAGUCUGCAUUUGCUAAUUCUAAUAUCUGCAUUAGUUGCAGGUUUGUUUUAGCUGUGAUUUUUUACAUAAAGCCCUCCCUUGCCUACACACAAACAACACACACACACACACAAACACACACACACACACACACACCCCGGGAAAUUUACCUGUAGAUUAUUUGAGGCCUGGGCUGAAGCUGAGUUUCUCUAAGAGGGCUUUGCUUCAGUUACCACUUUAAAUUAAGUUCCUGGAUUCAAAUUUUUCAGACUGCCAAGAUAGAGUGGAUUCAGACUGAAACGUUGGUCAUGUAAGGGCUAGCUUGUGGUUAUAAAGUCUCAAGGACGAUUUUAUUAUCUUACCACUUACUGCCAAGAUCAAGUCAACUAAGAUUUCCUGCUGUUCAUUGCUGUGUGCUGGGUUUAUUUCUCAUCUGCUCUUAUACUGCUGGGGUCCAGAUUUACCUGAAGUCUCCUAUGAGAAUAUUCAGUUGCUUCCCCUUUUAUUAAAUUGUUCUUCAGAUUCCUUCAUUUUUUAUCAGUCCAGUGAUGCGCUAAAGCAAAAGGCGAAUUGGAUGUCCAGAUUUGAGCAAAGAGCAGACUGAAGGUUGGGGAACAUUAAAUAGAAGUCAAAGAAUAUGCAAGGGCGCUUCUGGGCAUGACCUAUGAAUGGACAAAUUCCACACUGAUAUUUCCCCUAAAAAGUAAGUAUGUUCAUUAGUAAGACCAUGUUAGCCCCUGGAAGGGAUCCUCUUGAGUCAAGUUUAGCUCAGUUUAGAAACCGGCCAUGCCUACAAUUAGUUUCUGUCCUUAUUUUUUAAUGUGAUUAUUCUUGCAUGUGAAGCUAAAGGAACCCAGAAUUAGUUGACAGGCUUUUUACUUAAAAUGGUUGCCUUUAAAGCAAUUUCCCCAGUUAAUUUGUUUUACUGCCAUCAGUUAAACUGAGGUUAAAAGAAGAAAUAUCUCCAAUAAACUACUGCCAAUCAAGCACAAUUAUCCACUGCUAUGGCAGCAAUUCUAGACCAUAAAAGAACUUCCAAUGCUUCUUGAAAUCAAAAUAUGAGAGGAUGAAAUUAUUUUCCAUUCAGU
Molecule: long non-coding RNA, 1099 nt
Filed under: Cercocebus atys (sooty mangabey)
Lineage: Eukaryota; Metazoa; Chordata; Mammalia; Primates; Cercopithecidae
Description: lncRNA (ENSCATG00000045488.1)
Source: RNAcentral